CCCAUGUUCUCCUCUUCCGUUACAAAACAAUUAUCUCUAUUAUUCUCCCAGAUUGUUCACCUGUUAACAACGCCAUUAUUUGCUUAAAAAAAACGCCAGUAUUGGCAACAUUUAAUACCUUUAAUUCUUAUACCUGGAUAAUAAAUUUCAUACGUUACCCUAGGAAAACAUCCCUUGGAGAUUUUCCUACAUAAACCUCAAGAGAGGUUAUUAUCUUCCCAGGUUUCUCCAUUUUUUUCUUCAGCAUACUCUCUCAAGACAUAUCCCUCCAGUUGAUUCAUUCAUCCCAGAAUUUCUCUGAAGGUGAAGGAAGUAGUAGAUUAUGAUAAUGAGGCCAAUUUUCUGUGCGAGGUUUGAAGAGAUCUUGAACAUCUCUUCUCUAAGUAUGGGACUUGGGACUGUUGAUAGAGUUGACAUGAAAUAUGGUAACUAACCAUAAACAUCUGAAUCAUCUUCUUUGUUUUAGUAUUGAAUGUUUUUUAGCUCUUAAUCUUCUGUGGGUUUACUUUGUUGCACUCAUUGUUUAUAAAUUUAAUAUAAAGUUUGAAUGUUGAUGAGGUUUGUUGAGUUUUUUCUAUUUUUGUAAAAUUAGGGAUGAAAAUCACUUGGUUUUUAGUGAUGUGAAAAUCACUGGGGGAAUGGUUGAAUAAUUUUUUUUUUCUGUUCUUUAAUUUAUCAACCUAUCUUCGAUUGUUAUAUUUGGAUAUCGGUUUCUUCAAUAUCUUCAAAUGGAAGUUAUGUUCAAUUAAAAGGGCUAUUAAUUAAGUCGGUUCAAAAAACAAAUUUGUUAAGUACUCAUGUUAAGAAGAUACGAAAUUGAAUCAACAUCUGUGGUUCUUAGUUAAAUCCAUAGUGGUGGAGCAAUUAUAAAUCAAGCACGAGCCAGAAAGACAGUGAAUCGUGGUGGCACAACAGAUGGGGAAUUAACAUAGGAAACUCAAAUGUGAAAAAUUCAUCAACUGGUAACAAGGAUGCAGACCUCAGUGACGGACCUCUAUAUGAGAUGUAAGAAUAUCGUUGUUUUACCUUUUUCAUAACUUGUAUUACACAGUCGAACAUACAUUUAACCAUUUACUCCCUAAUAUAUAAGUUGAGGGUGAAUAAAUUAUAGUUAGGAUUUGAUUUUUGUGGAUUGGCAGAGAAACCAUAGAUGAGGAGAAUACUUCAAAUGACGACCGGGUGAUACCCUAACGUACCUUUAUUUAAUUAUUAGUGUUUGAGAGCAACAUCACAUUCAGAAGUACCUUACAUUUCCUAUGAGUUGAAAACAUUUUCGUAGAUUUUAUACAAAUGGUCAUUGGGUUAAGUACAACUGCUACUGCAUAAAGUACAUUUUUUUUCCAUCUUUGUAGUUGCAUUGUUUCGAUUCAAAUAUGUAUAUAUACCCAUCUCAUCUGUUUUCGUGAACUUACAUCUCUUAUGACACAUCCCGUUCCAUGUGUAUGCACAAUGUUAUAAUGGAUUUCCAUGUAAACAACUAAGCUCAUGUUUUGUUCUUAUAGGAAUGAUUAAGGUUGUUCGAUGCCUAAUUUAUUCCAACUAUAUAUUACUAUUAAACAUAAAAUGAUUUAACGUCCAUGGUAAAUUCAGUUAAGGUCAUCUUGCCACACUUUAGUCCCUAUUUCUUCUUAUUAUUUAGUCCUCAGUGUCCAACUGAGAGCACAUGUAAUCACACUAUUGUGUUGCUAAUCGAUCCUAGCUAAUCAUCAAUUUUGAGUAUAAUUUAUCAUUCUCACUACAAUACUGAAAGCGGUGGUGGCAUUUUGGAGGUCAGGGCGUUGGACUGCCUGCGUUGGAUUUUUUGGUGCGUUAAUAGAAACGAUUUGCUUCCCCUGCACAACAACUUUAAGGAAUCAAAAAUUUAAAUGUGUCUUCAUCAUGUAAGAAACAAUGAAAGUAUCCAGUGGUUGCUCUUGCAUAAGUAAAGCUGGAUGCUGCAGUUCACAAGAUCAUAAAAAAAGAAUUGUCGAUUAGUAAUGCCUUUGGCCAUUAAUACAGGAAGGCUUACGGAACCAUAAGUGAGAUGGACUCAGGAGACAAUGAUAUCCAUGUUUCAUUCUACUACAACAGAGAAACUGACCACAGCUCCACAUACAAAAGUAUCAUUCAUCCAUGUGUGAGGUGACUAACCUCGGGAAAAAAUAAAGUUGAACCGGCACAGAGGGAAGAUGUCAGCCCCAAAUAAACGAUAGCUUCUUCUUUGUACAAGGCCAGAGAUGGAAAGAAAGGGUGCAUGCCUGGAAACUAACCAUCUACAUAUCCGCCAUUAUUUUUCAGUACAUCGUUGGGUGAUUGAGGUGUAAAAUUGGAAUUCACAUUGUUGGUGAAUGACUUCGAAUCAUUGGGUGAUUGAGUUUUAAAAUUGGGGUUCACAUUAAAACUGAAAUUUUCAUCGUCUCCGAUUAAUCGGAAAUUUGAAAAAAUGAUAAUCAUUAAUUGAGAACUAUAUUAGAGAUGCCGAAGAAGAAGGCUGACGAA
Molecule: RNA transcript, 2478 nt
Organism: Papaver somniferum (opium poppy)
Lineage: Eukaryota; Viridiplantae; Streptophyta; Magnoliopsida; Ranunculales; Papaveraceae
Exons: 4
Source: RefSeq, a predicted model, not a curated record